CUCUUCCUCUUUCGCUCUUUCUAUCUCUCUCUACAUCUCUCUCUCUCUGUGUGUAUGCGUGUUUGUCACAAUUUGGAUGUGGAUUCUUCAAUUGUUAAUUGAUUUUGUCUUCAAUUUCUGGGUUUAUGUUAAUUUGUUGAUAUUUUGAUUACUAUGAUUUAGGAUUUUGAGUUUAUGUGUUCAAUUUAUGUUUUCUUCAUUUUAGGGUUUGAUUCAUUGGUUCUUUUUGGGGUUUGAUUCAUGGGUUCUUUUUUGUUAAUCUUUUUAGUUAGGUUUUUGAGUUCAAUUGAAUUUAGUACCACCAUACAGAACACAUGAACCUCAACUCUCCCUCCCCCAUUACAUAUUAAACAUCACUUGUGAUAUGAGAUGUUGUCUUCAAUUUCUCUGAGUCUUAGCAAAUGAUGUGUUAUUAUGGUUGUGUUCAAUUGAAUUUUAAUGGAUCACAUUUAGCCUUUUCUUAUUAUGUUAAUAGCGUUUCCCUUCUGAUGACUUUCUAUAAUGUCUAAGUGUGUGGAGAUUGUCCAUUCCUUGUUUCAUACUUUCCUGAUCCUUUAGCAUCAACCUCGGGAGCAGAUGGAAGCUUGUCGGUAUCUAGAUCUAGUGUUGAUCAUGAAAUCAAUUUGAGGAUUUAUUUGUAGAUGGAUGCUGUUGUAAAUUCAACCAAUGAGAAAACUAAGCGAGAGUUGGAGAAGCUUGCUCGAAAGGUUUAGCAUUUGAAUGAGGGAUUAUAUUUUUCAAAUGGAGGACAAUGAACUUGAUUUCUUGCCGCUGGGUUUGUGUUCAUCUUCUCGCCGCUAGGUUUGCGUUCAUCUUCCUCUCACCAUUGGGUUUGCAUUCAUAGCUCUCAUCGAUGGGUUUACAUUCAGUUUCCUUCACUAGUGAUUAUAUUCAGACCAUGUCAGAAGGCUUAAAUAGUUAAGAGUUAGAGAGAAGGGAACCAAAGUAUUUUGAAGGUUGAUUAAUAGAGGAAGACAAGAAGCAAGGAUCUAGGAGUUCAGUAUAAUUUUUGUGUUAUUUCAUAUCUAUGUUUUUUCUAUAAAUAUGUAUAAAAUUGAUCUUCUGUAGGGGAAAGUUACUUAUUUUGUUGUGAAGUUAAUGAAGAGUGUGUGUGUGUUGUGUUUACCUGUCAAACUGAAUGUGACCUUAUAUCGCGCAGGUUUACCUUUGUAGAACCCAUUCAUCCGAAGAUUGUAGGAAGCCUGUAAGAUGCUCAAGCUUUUGCUCGAAAUCAAGCCAACAAGGACACUGUUCGAUUCAACAUGGUGUUGCUACCUCUAAUCCGCUGCUGCGAUUAAUUCGGUGCUAAAGAGAUGGUUGCUAAUGAAAAUAAUGUGAUGGGUGGUGAAGUUUAGCUUUAGUUACUUUCCUUCCGUUAUGUAGUUUUUUCAAAACAAUUAUAUGUAUUUGAUAUUACUAUCUAAGUAUUAUAGUGUUGCAUUUGAUA
Trifolium pratense (red clover) is the source of this 1447-nucleotide long non-coding RNA. RefSeq lists it as uncharacterized. Lineage: Eukaryota; Viridiplantae; Streptophyta; Magnoliopsida; Fabales; Fabaceae. The transcript has 5 exons. The record is from RefSeq and is a predicted model, not a curated record.